This is an RNA transcript of Leptidea sinapis, 7444 nucleotides long. It is a transcript of the gene named protein 5NUC-like, with no coding region annotated. The record is from RefSeq and is a predicted model, not a curated record. Lineage: Eukaryota; Metazoa; Arthropoda; Insecta; Lepidoptera; Pieridae. The transcript has 6 exons.
ACAUUGAACCAACCAACACGAAUACCUGAUUCCUGAAACAGGCAGUAGCGUGCCGGCUUACGCGCACGUCGGACGUGUGUUCUGUUUCUUCAGAUUUUACCUCGUGUUCGAACCACGUGAACAGUGAUUAUAAUAAAGAUGGCACGAUUACCUCAACUAACAACGGUGAUAGCGGUGGCACUGUCCUUAUCUUCGUGCAGCAUUGUAUCAUCACCGGGAAGUGAUGGGACCUUCGAGCUGUUAAUAAUUCAUAAUAAUGACAUGCAUGCCCGGUUUGAACAGACCUCACAGCUGAGCGGGGCCUGCACCACGGCUGACAGAGACGCCGGCAAAUGUUACGGUGGAUUUCCGAGAGUAGCUACUGUAGUUAAGGAAGCUCGGAAAGCAGCUGCCUCAGGUCAAGGACCACCUGUGUUAUAUCUUAAUGCUGGAGACACCUACACAGGAACCGCCUGGUUCACAAUAUACAAAUGGAAGAUUGCUGCUGAGUUCCUCAAUGCUCUAGAACCAGAUGCCGUCUCACUGGGAAAUCAUGAGUUCGACAAUGGUAUUUCAGGAUUAAUACCAUAUAUAGCAAAUUUAUCAUGCCCAACACUCGCUGCCAACCUCAUCCUCGAUGACGAGCCUGAAUUAAAAGCACAAGAAAAAUUAAGAAAUUCAGUCGUCUUUGACAUUAAUGGAGUCAAAAUCGGCGUAAUAGGAUAUCUAACACCAGAUACAAAAGUUUUAUCUUCAAAAAAUAAUGUUAAAUAUAUUGACGAAGUAACGGCUAUCAAGGAUGAAGUAAAGAAAUUGAAUGGGGAAGGUGUGAAUAUUUUAAUCGCAUUAGGUCAUUCUGGUUUCCUUACUGAUUUAAAAAUUGCUCAAGAAGUUAAUAGCAUUGACCUUGUUAUUGGUGGACAUACAAAUACAUUUUUAUGGAAUGGUAAAGCACCUGAUAGUGAAACUCCACAAGGACCAUAUCCCAAAUUAGUGAAACAAUCGUCAGGAAGAGAAGUGCCCGUGGUACAAGCAUACGCAUAUACAAAAUAUUUAGGGCAGCUGAAGAUAGUGUUUGAUUCAAAUGGAGAAAUUAUUGGUUUCAAUGGCAAUCCUAUUUUACUGAACAAUUCAAUUCCUCGAGACCCUGACGUAGUCACAAUCGUUGAAAAAUAUCGCGAGAAUGUGAUGAAAGUUUCAGAGAUUUCAGUUGGUAACACUGCAGUACUCUUAGAUGGGAGUUCGUGUCGUUUACGCGAAUGUAACAUGGGAAAUUUAAUAACUGAUGCAUUAGUCUAUAAGUUUGCCUCAGACUACCAAGGAGUAGGUUGGACGGAUGCUCCUAUAGCCGUUAUGCAAGGUGGUGGAAUCCGAGCGACUAUUAACCACGUGAAUGAUGAGUCAGAUAUAACACAGGGCGACUUACUAACGGUGAUGCCGUUCGAUGAUAGAGCUGUGAAGGUGGCUAUGAGUGGUUCUGACAUUCGUAAAAUGUUAGAACAUUCAGUUGCUGAAUAUAAUGUCAUUCGUGCACCAGGACAAUUUCUGCAAUUCUCAGGAAUGAAGGUUGAAUACGAUUUUCAGAAAAAAUCUGGGGAAAGGGUUUUAAGAGCACAAAUUUUGUGUGGAGAUUGUAUAUUACCAGAAUAUUCUAUGUUGAAUGACAGUGCGGUAUAUAACAUUCUCAUUAAUGGUUUCUUGUCAAUGGGAGGAGACGGUUUCUCGGUUUUCGUUGAUAAACCCCAAGAUUACUUAAACUUUAAUGACCUUUCCGCUACCAUCGAAUAUAUUAAUAAGACAAGCCCUAUAUUUCCUGCAAUAGAAGGGCGUAUAAUUAUUCAUAACGAAAUGGCUAUUAGUUCCGCAUAUACAAAAACAUUUUCGUUAACAAUGUUGAGCUGUUUCAUAAUUGUACGAAUAUUUAUAUAAUUUGAUUACUUGUUACAUUAUUAUAUCCUCUAUCGGUCACAUUUGAGAUAAGGUGGUAAUACCCUUUUCCUUUUUUAAAACACUUUAGUCAAUGAUUGGUGCGAAAAAACGGUUUGUGUGCACGACCAUUUGAAGGCCACACGAUAGAAAAUCAUUCUAAGGAUUUAGUAAAAUUUUCACUUCUAUCUUAUAGUCUUAAACACACACUGUUUUUUUUUUCGAAAUGAAAGAACAAGCAGUUGAUCCAUCUGAUUUUAAGGGGAAUGCUUAGCCCUAAUAGUAACAAUAACAUUAAAACGCAUACGGGACGACCCAGUUAAGGCGACACUAAAUGCCAGCGACCUUGAGCGAUAUGAGUUCACGGCUGCCGGCCCACCAUCUAUGUAACAAAGCCAAUAUUUUCAAUAUUCUUGGGUGGAAAACAGUUUUUAUGUUUACAAUCCUCGUUAUUCACUACUAAUCUGAAUAAAUGGACCUACACAAAAAAGUACAAGCUAGAAGUAUAACUUUUCUGAGAGAAGUACCAAAAAAAUGCGUCACGUCAUGCCAAAAAACUUGUUUAACUUCAAACAAAAGCGAUAGUUCAAAAAGGCUCGGCAGUAUUAACUAUAACCAACAGCAAGCAUUAGCAACCUACAAAUAAGACUUAAGGAUAUGUGUAACAGGAUUAAGUAGUGUUCAUAGCUCGAAAUGCUAUACUUUCACCACAAAACUUGUCUAAAAACACCAUGUUUGCGUGUUUUCUGCUUACUCUUCGCCUUAACGCGAUACGACACCUAUCGAACCUUACUGCGCUCACCUCGGUGAGAUUUGACUCCUUUGGAUGGAGUCAAGAGUAAUUAAUUGCACCAGCACGACGACUGACAAACCACAACACUUUUUAUGUGAUAGAAGGAUACACCAGCAUACAUAUCCACAGUCACCUGAUGGUAAAUGAUCACUCCAGUACUCUCUAUAACAACAGAGGAAUCUCUCUCCUGAGGUCCAGAGGACCUUUUUUUUAUGGAAUAGUAGGACAGACGAGCGUACGGGUCACCUGGUGUUAAGUGAUCACCGCCGCCCACACUCUCUUGCAACACCAGAGGAAUUACAAGAGCGUUGCCGGCCUUUAAGGAAGGUGUACGCGCUUUUCUUGAAGGUACCCAUGUCGUAUCGUCCUAGAAACACCGCACAAGGAAGCUCAUUCCACAGCUUCGUAGUAUGAGGAAGAAAGCUCCUUGAAAACCGCACUGUAGAGGACCGCCACACAUCCAGAUGGUGGGGAUGAUAUCGUAAGUUGUGGCGUGUCGUGCGAAGGUGAAAUUCGGCGGCAGGAAUCAGGUGGAACAGCUCUUCGGAACACUCCCCGUGAUAGAUGCGGUAGAAGACACACAGUGAAGCGACGUCUCUACGCAACGCCAAGUGAUCCAGCCGUUCACAGAGCGCUAGGUCCCCGACAAUUCGAGCUGCUCUGCGUUGCACGCGGUCUAAUAAAUCGAGCUGAUACUGGGGUGUGCCAGACCAGAGAUGACAGCAAUACUCCAUGUGAGGCUGGACCUGCGCUUUGUAGAGCGCUAGAAUGUGGGCCGGCUUGAAGUAUUGCUGUGCUCUAUUUAUGAUGCCCCGGUUCUUCGAAGCCAAUUUGGCUUUGCCCUCCAGAUGGCCACGGAAUUGGCAAUCGUCGAAUAAACGUACUUAAGAAUACAAAAACACAUUGGUACGUGGCGGGCGAGCGUCGAACCGGGUGCUCCAUGGUGAGUGUCAACGGUACUACCAAUAGGUAAAAGGCGGAAUACCGUCACGGACCUUUCUGUUAAAAGGCAUUAAAAGACAUUCCGCGUCCAUUCUGCUUUAGCGGCAAACCAGCAUAAAAUGAGGUUAAAUGUGUUUUUAUUAUGCGAAUGCUAUAGAGAGCGUUCGGCGCUGUUCCGCCGCGUACAGCGCUGUUCGCCGUCGAAUGCGGCGGAACAGCUCUUUACAGGGAUGGUUCGCGACUCCUUGUAGACAAGUUGCGACCUGUAUUGUUCCUGCAUUGAUUUGACGUAAUCAUUAUGCACGCAAAGAUUAAAGAGAGCAGACGUGAUUUAAAGUUAUUAUUCUCGUUCUUACGACGCCGUACGCGGCUGAUAGAAGCUGAGCUGUAUAAGUGUGACCAAAAACGUUCAGCAAAACGCGAAUGGAGCUGAAUAAGUGCGUGUACCUUCCCUUACGGGGAAGUUUACCAAGAAUACUGACAGCAUUACCGCGAUGGGUACAUAUAGCUAAGCUGAUCCUUUGGCAGUUGUUAUAUCUCUUACACACAACUAUUUCAAGAUAUCAAUGGUGUAGCGGGUUACUUCCCCACACUAACACUUCAGGCACACUUAUUUCUACAGCUGUUAGUAUUGAAUAGAGAUUAUCAUAAAACCAAAAAAAACAGGCGAUAUAGCAGCAACAGCAAGCGGCGGAAGAAAAUGUAGCUUACAGUUUCAGUACCUAGCUGUCGUUAAGACAUGAGGUAGGUAAAUCUUUGGGGGAGGCCUUUGUCCAGCAGUAGACGUCUGGCUGAUAAUAAUAUAAUGAAGCUGAAUAAUUGCUACGGGCCCCGUUCGACAGGGGGCCCCUCAUAUUUAAACCCACUCAUCUCUGCUUGAGAGUAUUUUUUUUAAUGAAACUUAUUAUGAUGUGGUAUCAAAGGAAUUUGUUAUUUUUAAAGUAAUAUCCUUUACUUCUGUAAUUAAUUAAAUAAAAUUUGUAACCAAAAUUUAUGAACGAUGCGGAACUCGAACCCAAGCGCUCUGUGGCUCUUCCGCUGAGUCAGCCGUUCGAGGACGUAUAGUAAAAUUUAAUUUAAUUAAUUCCAGAAGUGAAGGAUUUCCCUUUAAAAAUAAGAAAUUGUUAAGAUUUGGAACAGCGACUUCUCAUGUCAAUUUCCUAAAAUGCAAUUAUUGGGGUUGGGCAGGUUAUCGACUGUAAGUUGAUCCCGUAGAUGAAGCCACAAUCUGAUAGUUGAACAAGACAUACCUAGAUUUAUGAACGAUGCGUCACUCGAACGAUUGGCUCAAUGGUAGAACACUCGGAACGCGAGAGGUCGCGGGUUCGAGUCGCGCUUCGUUCAUAAAUUUUCGUUACAAAUUUAAUUUAAGAUUUGGUAUUUUUAAUUUAAUUGAUGUCACAAAACCAUUACAACUAUUUCUGUUAAGACAAUCCACGUCAGACACUCGGUAACACACUAUUUCCAAUAAGAUUAAGUGCUAGAAAAAAAAAACUACGGGCCCUGCGCUUGUUUAAUGCGGCACUGCAUGCCGAGCGGUCUUAUGCCUCUUUAUCCUGGACUAUAAGGCCCGGUAUCCACCAAAGCGGCCUGGAGAGGAGAUAUAUUUUAGUAACCAAUCAGAUUUCGUUGUUUCCACAUCUCGUCUCCGCUUAGCUUUGGUGGAAAUGGAUCAAGCGGGGGGGAGAGGAGGUGUCACAUUUGUCUAUUAGGUUCUCAACGUGGGCGAUAACGCCCCCUUGUGGGCGUUUGAGACUUUCGGUGGGGCAGUAGAAGACCCAGAGAAAAUUAGGGGGCAUUGAGAUGGCCCAGAUGGGGCGUGGGUAGAUUAAAAAAUAUAGUCUAAAAAGGCAAAAAAAUACUCUAGAAAAAACCAUAUUCUCAAAGUGGGCGGUGAACAAAAUAAGGUUGAGAAAUUAUGAUCUAAAUAAGUCAAACUAAGUAAUACUAGCUCAAAAAUUGUAAAUAGGUGCGUCUACUCGACUCAAGAUGAGUAUUUUGAUGUAUUAUUUUGUAUUUUGCUAUUUUCGGUGACUUCGAUUUUGCUAAUGUCAAAAAAAUAUUGGGAUUCUUGAUAAAUAUCAAAAAUUUUUAACGACACUACAAUUGCGCUCGUCACCUUAAGACAUAAGAUUCUAAUUUGCCCAGUAAUUUCACUAGCUACGGUGCCCUUCAUACCGAAACAAUAAUGUUUAAACAUACUGCUUCACGGCAGAAAUAGGCGCCAUUGUGGUACCCGUAAUCUAGCCGGCAUCCUGUGCAAAGGAGCCUCCCAUUGGUACGGAAUAUACGGCUUAUACAAAACGCUGAACCAAGUCCAAACCGAGCUACUGGUACAGUUGAAGAAUAUUCACUUUAUUCAUCUCAAAUAUUUGAAUACUCUAUUGGAUGAGACUUAAUUAUCAUUAUAUUGAAGCCAUUCUGUUUUCUACUGAACAUCAUACAAAUUAAAUUUAAAAACAAGAUUUACGAACGAUGUGGGACUCGAACCCGUGACCUCUUUCACUCAGCCAACCGUUCGAGUGACGUAACGUUCAUAAAUCUUGGUAUGUCUUGUUCAACUUUCAGGUUGUGGCUUCAUCUACAGGACCUACUUUACUGUUCAACCCCAAUAUUUGCAUAUUAGGAAAUGGACUUGCGACGUCGCUCUUUCAAAUCUAAACAAACAAUCGCGGGUUCGGGUCCGUUUGUUUUUGAAUUUAAUUUGUGUAAUAAAUCCCAGAAGUGAUGGUUAUCACUUAAAAAAAAAACAAAUUGUUUACUGAACAUAAUAUUAAUCGCUUCUAGAUUUCCAUAUAUAUUUUUGAGACAUUCUUAUUUUUUAUUAAAUAUUUCUCAGCCAAACUGUAGUCGUACUGUUUUUAUUUAAAUAUAAACUUUUGAAAGUUUUAGUAGAAUAUUCUUUUUAGUUUAGUACUGAAAAUAUAUAUAACAGAGGGUUGGCAGGAUUCAGUUCGUAAAUUCGAUUAUAUGAUGACCUACCAUGAAAGUUUACCUAAUUUUUAUUUAUGAUUUUAUAAAUGUAUUGUUUUGGAAAUUAUAAAAAUUUUAUUCUGCGACAUAUUAAAUUAAUUGUUUAUUAGGCAUAAUGUGUAAUGAAAUUAUUUAUUUUGAUUUAUGAUUUUAAUGUGUCGGUUUCAUAAUUACUAUCUAAGGCUGAGAUCAUUUAUACGUCUAGAAAGACUGUGGCGGCUGUGAAAACGUCAAAAAAAUUGAGGUUGACAGUUGAGUUCUGUUUUGAGCAAUGCGCACACACUAACACUGGAUAGUGACAUACCGAAGAACGACGUACCUUGCCAUGCACACUAAAGUAAUAAAUCUGGUCUGUUUUCAUCAGUAAUCUAGCAGCAAGAGGCUCUAUCUAGAUGUAUAAAUUAUCUAGGAAAUAAGGCUAUAACGCAGAUUAUGGGUCACAUAAUAUGUACUAAUAUUAACGUCAGACUGAAAUGCAAAAUGGUUGUCAGUUGUCACUUGGUAUUUGUUCCACGCGACAGUAGCGCCACCACGCGACAGCAGCGCCACCACGCGGCGUGUUUCGUACCUACUCUGCCUCUCACCUUAGAGUACGUAAUAUGAAGCCGACAUAAGUUUGAAUAGUAAUAUUUGUAUGUGUUUGUAUCUAGUGUUGAAUAUUUUCAAUGUACAAUAAAUAAUAAUAAUCGAUUUGUUCCGUGUUGUAUGUUGUCGAGUCUCAUUCAAUGAAAUUAAUCCUGUACACGUUAUUGUUGUUCUAUAAUUAUUUAAUCAGAAUAUCGCUUGACAUUAUAUUGUUCAUAAAUUGCAUAAUAAAUAUCUUCGGACAUA